CUUGGGCGGCUACCAUGCAAGUCGAACGGUAGCACAGAGAGCUUGCUCUUGGGUGACGAGUGGCGGACGGGUGAGUAAUGUCUGGGGAUCUGCCUGACAAAGGGGGAUAACUACUGGAAACGGUAGCUAAUACCGCAUAACCUCGCAAGAGCAAAGAGGGGGACCUUCGGGCCUCUCGCUGUCAGAUGAACCCAGAUGGGAUUAGCUAGUAGGUGGGGUAAUGGGUCACCUAGGCGACAAUCCCUAGCUGGUCUGAGAGGAUGACCAGCCACACUGGAACUGAGACACGGUCCAGACUCCUACGGGAGGCAGCAGUGGGGAAUAUUGCACAAUGGGCGCAAGCCUGAUGCACCCAUGCCGCGUGUAUGAAGAAGGCCUUCGGGUUGUAAAGUACUUUCUCCGGGGAGGAAGGUGUUGAGGUUAAUAACCUCACCAAUUGACGUUACCCGCAGAAAAAACACCGGCUAACUCCGUGCCACCAGCCGCGGUAAUACGGAGGGUGCAAGCGUUAAUCGGAAUUACUGGGCGUAUAGCGCACGCAGGCGGUCUGUCUAGUCACAUGUGAAAUCCCCGGGCUUAACCUGGGAACUGCGUUUGAAACUGUGAAGCUAGAGUCUUGUAGAGGGGGGUAGAAUUCCAGGUGUAGCGCUGAAAUGCGUAUAGAUCUGGAGGAUUACCGGUGGCGAAAGCGGCCCCCUGGACAAAGACUGACGCUCUUGUGCGAAAGCGUGUGGGAGCAAACAGGAUUAUAUACACUGGUAAUCCACGCCUUAAACCAUGUCUACUUUGAGGUUGUUCUCCUUGAGGAGUGUCUUCCCAUCUUUCUCGUUUUUCGACCGCCUGGUGAGUACUGGCGCUGGUGAUACUCAAUUAAUUGUCUGGGACUCGCACAGCUUGGAAAUGGGUUUUAUUCUAUGUAAUUCGAGAACUUUCUCCUCUGUCAUUUCCGACUUCG
RNAcentral lists this ribosomal RNA (955 nucleotides) under Leclercia sp. Its description in RNAcentral is "bacterial SSU rRNA". It matches the Rfam family "Bacterial small subunit ribosomal RNA", at positions 36 to 992 of the family's 1533-position model. The record is from RNAcentral. Lineage: Bacteria; Pseudomonadati; Pseudomonadota; Gammaproteobacteria; Enterobacterales; Enterobacteriaceae.